This 678-nucleotide ribosomal RNA is filed under the name uncultured bacterium. RNAcentral describes it as "bacterial SSU rRNA". It matches the Rfam family "Bacterial small subunit ribosomal RNA", at positions 125 to 818 of the family's 1533-position model. The record is from RNAcentral.
CCUGCCGUAUACCGGGGGACAACAGAGGGAAACUUUUGCUAAUACCGCAUAAGCGCACAGUGCCACAUGGCACAGUGUGAAAAACUCCGGUGGUAUACGAUGGACUCGCGUCUGAUUAGCCAGUUGGUGAGGUAACGGCUCACCAAAGCAACGAUCAGUAGCCGGCCUGAGAGGGUGAACGGCCACAUUGGGACUGAGACACGGCCCAGACUCCUACGGGAGGCAGCAGUGGGGAAUAUUGCACAAUGGAGGAAACUCUGAUGCAGCGACGCCGCGUGAGUGAAGAAGUAUUUCGGUAUGUAAAGCUCUAUCAGCAGGGAAGAAAGAAAUGACGGUACCUGGCUAAGAAGCCCCGGCUAACUACGUGCCAGCAGCCGCGGUAAUACGUAGGGGGCAAGCGUUAUCCGGAUUUACUGGGUGUAAAGGGAGCGUAGACGGCGAUGCAAGUCAGAUGUGAAAACCCAUGGCUCAACCAUGGGAUUGCAUUUGAAACUGUGUUGCUAGAGUGCAGGAGAGGUAAGCGGAAUUCCUGGUGUAGCGGUGAAAUGCGUAGAUAUCAGGAGGAACACCGGUGGCGAAGGCGGCUUACUAGACUGUAACUGACGUUGAGGCUCGAAGGCGUGGGUAGCAAACAGGAUUAGAUACCCUGGUAGUCCACGCAGUAAACGAUGAUUACCA